GCAUUUUUACACACGCUCUCAAUUUACGUGCUCCGGCAGACUCGAUGAAUUGAGUUUGCUGGAUCUCCAGCACAUCGGAGCAGGCUCCCCGCAUGUGAGCAAGUGCCCUUGGUGUCCACUUAGACCCGGUGCCUCUCACCCGCAGCUGCAGAUUUCGAGGCGCUUGCUCCUGUUGGGCAGCCUACGAUGCGUCUGAAGUGCCUGGCAUCAGGGGCUGGGAAUGAGAAGCAACCUUGAUUUUAGCCAGGGAGGCCUGUCCUCAGGUUGUAACUCCAUGGGUAUAUUGCAACCCACAGUUGGCUCUAAGGAAAUGCACCCCUGCAGAGGUCCAGAGCAAGGGUUUUUGUCUCCUGUAAGCCCCUCGAGCUAAGGUUUCGGUAGGGCGCAGGGCCUGCCCUGGCUCGUGGCCCAGGGGUGGGUCCCAGCCUGGGAUGAGAAGUUGGAGCUACGCUGCCUUUCAGCUUAUACCCUUCUGCAUGAGGAUGGCAGAGGCUGUGUGCGCCCACGGCAUGAGCUUGGAGUGCCCUUGGCUUUCUGGAGGGCAGAAAAACCAUCAGCAAGAGGCAGCGUGGUCCAGUGGAUGGGACGUCGUGCUGGGACCCGGGAGUCUCUGCUGCUGGACCUGGGGCAAGGCUCCGUGCCUGGGUCACCGCUGGAGCACUCCAUGGGCGCUCACCAGGCUAGGGGCUGCAGACACUUAGCAAGCAGGGCCCUGAUCUCCAGUGGGGCCGGUCGGCGCUACUACCACGCGAAUGCAUGACAGAGUCAAUUAUCGAAAUGCCAAUUAGCCAAGCCGUUCAGUUAUCCCCGGGGAGGAGGUGCCGCCAACACGCAUGGUGCAUGUUACAGCAAAAAUGUUCUUCCAGUGACUGAGGAAAUCAUCAGCCAGCCGAACAAAGCUGGUGCACGCUUUCCAGAGGUCACGUACAGAACCGGCCGUUUCAUGUGCAUUUCAUUAACUGAACGAUUUCAUUUUACAAACAGGUUUUGGUCCCAAUUAGUUUGGAUAAUUGACUGUCUCCUGUAAUCAUAAGCCCGUGAAUAUCCGGAUGCCUGACUCUGGCCAGAUGGCAUCGAAUAAAUAACAGGAGCUGCAGGGGAACUGCAGCCAAGCAGGUAUGCCACCAAAGCCGCGCUGGAGCCGAACACAGGAUUGCACGUCUGCGUUUCCUCCUCUGAAACAAACCUCUGGACAAGUGAUGCCAGAAUACGCCAGACACAAAGGGCCACUAACGAGCUAGACAGGGCUUGCGAUCCAUUGAGCAAACAAGGUGUUUAAGAGAAUUUUAAACAUCCUCUAAUUUUGUCCCUCGACGCUGGCAUGGAUGAUCGUCCUGCUGAUCCAUAUUCAUACCCUCGCCGCGCCUGCAGAGACUGCAGAAGUCGGGGAGUCGCUGGUAGAGCUCAGCAUCCGGCGCCAGCACCGCGGCAGCACCCUCCCUGCAAAAUCACUCGGCAAAAAUGGAAAUCCAUGUUAAUCCCAUCAGCAAGCAGAAUCUGCCCAGAGCAACGCCAAUGCCUGCACGGCCUUGCCCCCCGUGAGCACUGGAAUUAGCCCAGGAACGGGCACUCGUUUUUCCAACUAUGUGCUGGGAUCUGACCCCGAAAUCAGCCCGUGACAGCAGGGAAGCACGGGGAUGAGCAGAGAGGAGCGACUGGCCCUGCCUGCCACUCUCGCUGCAAGCGCGAUAAGGCCAGCGGCAUCAAGAGCCGGCUGCACCAGCCGGAAAAAUACGGUUCCCCUAAAUCUCCCUGGUGCCUGGAGCCAAGCUGGAAGGGAGGCAUAUUUUAGGGGCUGAAGGAGAACACAGAGUCCUUGGCGGUGUUACAGGCAUUCAUCACGCUCCCCGCCCCGCUGCAGCUCAUCAGCGGAGCUCGCACCCGAGCCCAUCGCAGCGGCCACGCGCAGCUCCCCGCUGAGCCUCGCAGAGCAGGCGUGCUCGCCGGCCAUGGCCCGAGCUGCUCCCUGCAAGGGAAACAGCUGCCUCCAGGGGUAAAACACAUGUUUUAGGCUGGACAUAAGAAAAAAUGUCUUUACUGUCCGUGCCCCCAGGACCUGGAAUAGACUCCCUCCAGAAGUGGUGCAGGCACCUACUCUGGACUCCUUCAAGAAACGCUUGGAUGCUCAUCUUGCUGGGAUCCUAUGACCCCAGCUGACUUCCUGCCCCUGGGGCAGGGGCUGGACUCGAUGAUCUUUGAGGUGCCUUCCAGCCCUAAUGUCUAUGAAAUCUAUGAAAUAUUCGCACUUCCAUUUUCUGGCCUAAAACAGGAAAAACCCAGGGAAUGCACGUUCUCUUUAUCUUCCCGGCAUGAGGGCCCAGAGGUGCAGGCAACAUGGGGCCGUCUUCUCCCAGGCACCCCACGCUCCAACCCCGCUCCCUAGGUCGCUGGGCCCUUUAUGCGCAUGCCCUGAUAGGGAGAUGCUCCGUGCAUGACCUGCCUUUCAAGAGACGCCUCCGCUCACUCCGUGCCCUCCUGGCUUCCCUGGCACGCUGGGGUAUGAUGGAGGCAUGAGCUCUCUUUGCUCUAAGCCCGAUCCCCCGCUAAGCCUGCAAAGCCAAGGUAGCUACGUGCUGAUUUGUGCUAGAGAGAACUGACAGGCUGACAAAAACUUGCAGCUCCGUGGAAAAAGCAAAGGUGGCUUGCACUGCGGGCCGACGGGCAAGAGAGCUGCAGCAGGGAGCAAACGGCCUGGCAGAGCAGUGGGGCUGGGAGCACGACUUCGAUCUCACCGCCACGGGCACGGCAGGAGACGGGGCAUUACUGCGCUGGCUGUGGGCACUCUUGUGACCCGCGUCCACGUCUAGGCUCUCCCUAGUCCGCCCCUCUUCCCAGAGCACAGCUCGCGGUGCCCAAGUGCUGAGCAGUCAUUGGGCUGGGAUAGAAAUGCACCAUCCUUUGGGACAAGCAGGGGAUCGAGCCCCAGCUUUGCCACCUCUCGUUUGGCGGAGCUGACAGGUCGUCCGGGAGCAAGCCCCACAGCGAGCUCCCGCUCGCAGAAGUCCUCUGUAUUAGUCCUGACAGGUAGCAGUGAUUCAUAAAGCAGAAAUAAACUGGAGCUGGCUCUACAAUGCCACCUCAUUUUGUCUCCCAUUUCAGUUUUACAUCUUUCAGCAUAAUGCCGGAUGGUUAAUUAUGUUUCCAUCUUAUUUUUCAAAUAAUGCCCCUCUUGUUCUGCGUGUCGCAUCUGCUCAAAGGGUUUUCAUUUUGCCUUUCAUUUCACCUCCUAGCAGAGCUCUAAAUUUAGUCAGCUGGUAAUUUUUGGAUAUUUUAUACAUUAUGCCUUUAUUAUUGUGAAGUAAAAUGGAAUCCGUGUCUCUUAAUGCGCUCUCUAACAA
Long non-coding RNA from Alligator mississippiensis (American alligator), 3338 nucleotides. RefSeq lists it as uncharacterized. The record is from RefSeq and is a predicted model, not a curated record. The transcript has 3 exons. Lineage: Eukaryota; Metazoa; Chordata; Crocodylia; Alligatoridae.